This 253-nucleotide ribosomal RNA is filed under the name uncultured bacterium. RNAcentral describes it as "partial 16S ribosomal RNA". It matches the Rfam family "Bacterial small subunit ribosomal RNA", at positions 524 to 776 of the family's 1533-position model. The record is from RNAcentral.
UACGAAGGUCCCGAGCGUUGUUCGGAAUCACUGGGCGUAAAGGGAGCGUAGGCAGCGCGGUAAGUCAGAUGUGAAAUCCCGGGGCUCAACCCCGGAACUGCAUCCGAUACUGCCGUGCUAGAGGAUUGGAGAGGUAGCUGGAAUUCUUGGUGUAGCAGUGAAAUGCGUGGAGAUCAAGAGGAACACUCGUGGCGAAAGCGAGCUACUGGACAAUAUCUGACGCUGAGGCUCGAAGGCCAGGGUAGCGAAAGGG